UUUCUAGUGAAAAAAUACUAGAUAAGCCCUGCCCCACGUAAUUAAGUGGCCGCGGUACAAUAACCGUGCUAAGGUAGCAUAAUCAAUUGUUUAUUAAUUGUAAAAUUGAAUGAAGGGGUAAACAAAAUAAAGACUGUCUCCUAUAAACUAAUAUAAACUAUCCUCUUUAUGAAGAGAUAAAGAUAAAAUUAAAGGACAAGAAGACCCUAUAGAGCUUUUACUUAACCUUAAUUAAUAAGAUAAAGUUUGGUUGGGGCGACCUAAGAUAAUAAAUAACAUCUUUAAUUUAAUAAGAACUACUACUCUAAAUAUUGACCCUAAAAAGAUCAGUGAUUUAAGUUACCUUAGGGAUAACAGGCUGAUUAUUUUUAAGAGCUCUUAUCUAAAAAAUAGAUUGGCACCUCGAUGUUGGCUUAGGAAUACUAAUGCUCGCAAAAGAGCAUAAAGUUGGUUUGUUCAACCAAUAAUAUCCU
Molecule: ribosomal RNA, 473 nt
Filed under: Cambarincola chirocephalus
Lineage: Eukaryota; Metazoa; Annelida; Clitellata; Branchiobdellida
Description: partial 16S ribosomal RNA
Rfam family: Bacterial large subunit ribosomal RNA
Source: RNAcentral